Molecule: ribosomal RNA, 729 nt
Filed under: uncultured eukaryote
Lineage: Eukaryota
Description: SSU rRNA
Rfam family: Eukaryotic small subunit ribosomal RNA
Source: RNAcentral
CGGGUGCACUGAUCCAGCCGGGCCUUUCCCUCUGUGGAACCCCAUGGCCUUCACUGGCUGUGGUGGGGAAACAGGACUUUUACUUUGAAAAAAUUAGAGUGCUCCAGGCAGGCCUAUGCUCGAAUACAUUAGCAUGGAAUAAUAGAAUAGGACGUGUGGUUCUAUUUUGUUGGUUUCUAGGACCGCCGUAAUGAUUAAUAGGGACAGUCGGGGGCAUCGGUAUUCAAUUGUCAGAGGUGAAAUUCUUGGAUCUAUUGAAGACUAACUACUGCGAAAGCAUUUGCCAAGGAUGUUUUCAUUGAUAAGGAACGAAAGUUAGGGGAUCGAAGACGAUCAGAUACCGUCGUAGUCUUAACUAUAAACUAUGCCGACUAGGGAUCGGACGAUGUUAUUCUUUGACGCGUUCGGCACCUUUCGAGAAAUCAAAGUGCUUGGGCUCCAGGGGGAGUAUGGUCGCAAGGCUGAAACUUAAAGAAAUUGACGGAAGGGCACCACCAGGGGUGGAACCUGCGGCUUAAUUUGACUCAACACGGGGAAACUCACCAGGUCCAGACACAGUGAGGAUUGACAGAUUGAGAGCUCUUUCUUGAUUCUGUGGGUGGUGGUGCAUGGCCGUUCUUAGUUGGUGGAGUGAUUUGUCUGCUUAAUUGCGAUAACGAACGAGACCUUAACCUGCUAAAUAGCCCGUACUGCUUUGGCAGUUCGCCGGCUUCUUAGAGGGACUAUCGG